GACGAACGCUGGCGGCGUGCCUAAUACAUGCAAGUAGAACGCUGAAGGAGGAGCUUGCUUCUCUGGAUGAGUUGCGAACGGGUGAGUAACGCGUAGGUAACCUGCCUGGUAGCGGGGGAUAACUAUUGGAAACGAUAGCUAAUACCGCAUAAUAGCAGUUGUUGCAUGACAACUGUUUGAAAGGUGCAAUUGCACCACCACCAGAUGGACCUGCGUUGUAUUAGCUAGUUGGUGGGGUAACGGCUCACCAAGGCGACGAUACAUAGCCGACCUGAGAGGGUGAUCGGCCACACUGGGACUGAGACACGGCCCAGACUCCUACGGGAGGCAGCAGUAGGGAAUCUUCGGCAAUGGACGGAAGUCUGACCGAGCAACGCCGCGUGAGUGAAGAAGGUUUUCGGAUCGUAAAGCUCUGUUGUAAGAGAAGAACGAGUGUGAGAGUGGAAAGUUCACACUGUGACGGUAUCUUACCAGAAAGGGACGGCUAACUACGUG
RNAcentral lists this ribosomal RNA (495 nucleotides) under uncultured bacterium. RNAcentral describes it as "partial 16S ribosomal RNA". It matches the Rfam family "Bacterial small subunit ribosomal RNA", at positions 28 to 507 of the family's 1533-position model. The record is from RNAcentral.